UGCCUAUGAUGAUUGAAGUGGAAUUUUAUUAAUGAUUAUUCGUUGAUUAUGAACACACUACUGCCUUCCUUCUGAGGCU
Molecule: small nucleolar RNA, 79 nt
Organism: Salvia miltiorrhiza (redroot sage)
Lineage: Eukaryota; Viridiplantae; Streptophyta; Magnoliopsida; Lamiales; Lamiaceae
Product: small nucleolar RNA U83
Exons: 1
Source: RefSeq, a predicted model, not a curated record